ACGUAGGGCGCGAGCGUUGUCCGGAUUUAUUGGGCGUAAAGAGCUCGUAGGCGGCUUGUUGCGUCAGCUGUGAAAACCCGCAGCUCAACUGUGGGCUUGCAGCUGAUACGGGCAGGCUUGAGUUCGGUAGGGGAGACUGGAAUUCCAGGUGUAGCGGUGAAAUGCGUAGAUAUCUGGAGGAACACCGGUGGCGAAGGCGGCAUCCUGGACCGGUAUUGACGCUGAGGAGCGAAAGCCAGGGGAGCAAACGGGA
This 253-nucleotide ribosomal RNA is filed under the name uncultured prokaryote. RNAcentral's name for it is "partial 16S ribosomal RNA". It matches the Rfam family "Bacterial small subunit ribosomal RNA", at positions 525 to 777 of the family's 1533-position model. The record is from RNAcentral.